GGGGCGAGACGAGUCGGUACGAAUGAGAUUUAAGGCGAACCAACCCUGGGUGAAUAGGACUAAGAGCGAAACAGUGCAGAGUUCGAAAUGGUUUUAGGGCGAACCGACCCGGAUUCAUAGGUUCUGUCACAGUUGGAAACAGAAAACAUAACAGCAUCAAGCUUGAAGUAUAAUUGAAUCUACUGAAUUUUGUCUCAUAACCACGUGUACUCUCCCACUCCGUUUCCAUUUCAGGUUUCUCCAUAGACGCACAGAGACUACAAAUUUCCUGGAAUAAAGAAAAAUACCCAUUAUGA
This is a long non-coding RNA of Gigantopelta aegis, 296 nucleotides long. RefSeq lists it as uncharacterized. Lineage: Eukaryota; Metazoa; Mollusca; Gastropoda; Neomphalida; Peltospiridae. The transcript has 2 exons. The record is from RefSeq and is a predicted model, not a curated record.